UAUAGAGUGCCUGAUUAAAGGAUAAUUUUGAUAGAAUUAAUGACGUGUGCCAACACCUCUAUAA
Molecule: transfer RNA, 64 nt
Filed under: Cryptocephalus schaefferi
Lineage: Eukaryota; Metazoa; Arthropoda; Insecta; Coleoptera; Chrysomelidae
Description: tRNA-Ile
Source: RNAcentral